This 414-nucleotide ribosomal RNA is filed under the name uncultured bacterium. RNAcentral's name for it is "bacterial SSU rRNA". It matches the Rfam family "Bacterial small subunit ribosomal RNA", at positions 355 to 766 of the family's 1533-position model. The record is from RNAcentral.
UGAGGAAUAUUGGUCAAUGGGCGCAAGCCUGAACCAGCCAUCCCGCGUGAAGGAAGAAUGCGCUACGCGUUGUAAACUUCUUUUCCAGGGGGAGAAUUUUCCUGUCGAGACAGGGAUUGACGGUACCCUGGGAAUAAGCAUCGGCUAACUCCGUGCCAGCAGCCGCGGUAAUACGGAGGAUGCGAGCGUUAUCCGGAUUUAUUGGGUUUAAAGGGUGCGUAGGCGGAUUGAUAAGUCAGUGGUGAAAUUCUGCAGCUUAACUGUAGACUUGCCGUUGAUACUGUUAGUCUUGAGUGUGGUCAAGGCAGGCGGAAUGUGUAAUGUAGCGGUGAAAUGCUUAGAUAUUACACAGAACACCGAUUGCGAAGGCAGCUUGCUGGGUCAUUACUGACGCUGAUGCACGAAAGCGUGGGG